CUGACAAUCCUAGAGAUAGGACGUCCCCUUCGGGGGCAGAGUGACAGGUGGUGCAUGGUUGUCGUCAGCUCGUGUCGUGAGAUGUUGGGUUAAGUCCCGCAACGAGCGCAACCCUUGAUCUUAGUUGCCAGCAUUCAGUUGGGCACUCUAAGGUGACUGCCGGUGACAAACCGGAGGAAGGGGGGGAUGACGUCAAAUCAUCAUGCCCCUUAUGACCUGGGCUACACACGUGCUACAAUGGACAGAACAAAGGGCAGCCAAACCGCGAGGUUAAACCAAUCCCACAAAUCUGUUCUCAGUUCGGAUCGCAGUCUGCAACUCGACUGCGUGAAGCUGGAAUCGCUAGUAAUCGCGGAUCACCAUGCCGCGGUGAAUAC
This 377-nucleotide ribosomal RNA is filed under the name Bacillus subtilis subsp. subtilis. Its description in RNAcentral is "bacterial SSU rRNA". It matches the Rfam family "Bacterial small subunit ribosomal RNA", at positions 991 to 1369 of the family's 1533-position model. Lineage: Bacteria; Bacillati; Bacillota; Bacilli; Caryophanales; Bacillaceae. The record is from RNAcentral.